AUCUUUUAAGUAUACCGAGAGUACACUCGCCUUCCAAGUGAGAGGAUUAAUUAAAUUUAAAAAAGAUA
Molecule: transfer RNA, 68 nt
Filed under: Isara chinensis
Lineage: Eukaryota; Metazoa; Mollusca; Gastropoda; Neogastropoda; Mitridae
Description: tRNA-Gly
Source: RNAcentral